RNAcentral lists this ribosomal RNA (1556 nucleotides) under Enterococcus faecium. Its description in RNAcentral is "bacterial SSU rRNA". It matches the Rfam family "Bacterial small subunit ribosomal RNA". The record is from RNAcentral. Lineage: Bacteria; Bacillati; Bacillota; Bacilli; Lactobacillales; Enterococcaceae.
UAUGAGAGUUUGAUCCUGGCUCAGGACGAACGCUGGCGGCGUGCCUAAUACAUGCAAGUCGAACGCUUCUUUUUCCACCGGAGCUUGCUCCACCGGAAAAAGAGGAGUGGCGAACGGGUGAGUAACACGUGGGUAACCUGCCCAUCAGAAGGGGAUAACACUUGGAAACAGGUGCUAAUACCGUAUAACAAUCAAAACCGCAUGGUUUUGAUUUGAAAGGCGCUUUCGGGUGUCGCUGAUGGAUGGACCCGCGGUGCAUUAGCUAGUUGGUGAGGUAACGGCUCACCAAGGCCACGAUGCAUAGCCGACCUGAGAGGGUGAUCGGCCACAUUGGGACUGAGACACGGCCCAAACUCCUACGGGAGGCAGCAGUAGGGAAUCUUCGGCAAUGGACGAAAGUCUGACCGAGCAACGCCGCGUGAGUGAAGAAGGUUUUCGGAUCGUAAAACUCUGUUGUUAGAGAAGAACAAGGAUGAGAGUAACUGUUCAUCCCUUGACGGUAUCUAACCAGAAAGCCACGGCUAACUACGUGCCAGCAGCCGCGGUAAUACGUAGGUGGCAAGCGUUGUCCGGAUUUAUUGGGCGUAAAGCGAGCGCAGGCGGUUUCUUAAGUCUGAUGUGAAAGCCCCCGGCUCAACCGGGGAGGGUCAUUGGAAACUGGGAGACUUGAGUGCAGAAGAGGAGAGUGGAAUUCCAUGUGUAGCGGUGAAAUGCGUAGAUAUAUGGAGGAACACCAGUGGCGAAGGCGGCUCUCUGGUCUGUAACUGACGCUGAGGCUCGAAAGCGUGGGGAGCAAACAGGAUUAGAUACCCUGGUAGUCCACGCCGUAAACGAUGAGUGCUAAGUGUUGGAGGGUUUCCGCCCUUCAGUGCUGCAGCUAACGCAUUAAGCACUCCGCCUGGGGAGUACGACCGCAAGGUUGAAACUCAAAGGAAUUGACGGGGGCCCGCACAAGCGGUGGAGCAUGUGGUUUAAUUCGAAGCAACGCGAAGAACCUUACCAGGUCUUGACAUCCUUUGACCAUUAAAUGAUUAUCGCCAAAAAUGCGAAAUGAAAUUGAUCUGGGUGCAUGGUUGUCGUCAGCUCGUGUCGUGAGAUGUUGGGUUAAGUCCCGCAACGAGCGCAACCCUUAUUGUUAGUUGCCAUCAUUCAGUUGGGCACUCUAGCAAGACUGCCGGUGACAAACCGGAGGAAGGUGGGGAUGACGUCAAAUCAUCAUGCCCCUUAUGACCUGGGCUACACACGUGCUACAAUGGGAAGUACAACGAGUUGCGAAGUCGCGAGGCUAAGCUAAUCUCUUAAAGCUUCUCUCAGUUCGGAUUGCAGGCUGCAACUCGCCUGCAUGAAGCCGGAAUCGCUAGUAAUCGCGGAUCAGCACGCCGCGGUGAAUACGUUCCCGGGCCUUGUACACACCGCCCGUCACACCACGAGAGUUUGUAACACCCGAAGUCGGUGAGGUAACCUUUUGGAGCCAGCCGCCUAAGGUGGGAUAGAUGAUUGGGGUGAAGUCGUAACAAGGUAGCCGUAUCGGAAGGUGCGGCUGGAUCACCUCCUUU